GGGGCUGUGGUUCAGUGGUUAGAACACUUACCUCUCAUGCGUGAAGUCCUAGGUUCAAUUCCCAGUAUCACCA
RNAcentral lists this transfer RNA (73 nucleotides) under Mus musculus (house mouse). It matches the Rfam family "tRNA". From Rfam's summary of the family: Transfer RNA (tRNA) molecules are approximately 80 nucleotides in length. The record is from Rfam by way of RNAcentral. Lineage: Eukaryota; Metazoa; Chordata; Mammalia; Rodentia; Muridae.